CCUACGGGGGGCAGCAGUGAGGAAUAUUGGUCAAUGGGCGAGAGCCUGAACCAGCCAAGUCGCGUGAGGGAGUACUGCCCUAUGGGUUGUAAACCUCUUUUGUCGGGGAGCAAAAGCCGGACGUGUCCGGCUGUGAGAGUACCCGAAGAAAAAGCAUCGGCUAACUCCGUGCCAGCAGCCGCGGUAAUACGGAGGAUGCGAGCGUUAUCCGGAUUUAUUGGGUUUAAAGGGUGCGCAGGCGGAUUUUUAAGUCAGCGGUAAAAUCGUGGGGCUCAACCCCAUCCAGUCGUUGAAACUGGGGAUCUAGAGUGUGCGAGAGGUAUGCGGAAUGCGUGGUGUAGCGGUGAAAUGCAUAGAUAUCACGCAGAACCCCGAUUGCGAAGGCAGCAUACCGGUGCACAACUGACGCUCAGGCACGAAAGCGUGGGUAUCGAACAGGAUUAGAUACCCCUGUAGUC
Molecule: ribosomal RNA, 458 nt
Filed under: uncultured bacterium
Lineage: Bacteria
Description: partial 16S ribosomal RNA
Rfam family: Bacterial small subunit ribosomal RNA
Source: RNAcentral